Molecule: unclassified non-coding RNA, 202 nt
Filed under: Hevea brasiliensis (rubber tree)
Lineage: Eukaryota; Viridiplantae; Streptophyta; Magnoliopsida; Malpighiales; Euphorbiaceae
Source: RNAcentral
ACUUUGAUUGACGCAUACGUUGGAAAACUUGCAGUGGAACCUCUGACUCCACAUCUUGCAUGACAAGUUCCCAGUUGUGCAUUUCAUCUUGCUCUGAAGGAAUAACAAUGAUUGGCAUAUUUGAGGCAUUUUCAGCACCUUCUACAAUAGGUGACUGUGGCACUAUCUUAGAACUCAAUUCGUUAUUGUCCAAGUCAUUAAU